UACGUAGGGUGCAAGCGUUGUCCGGAAUUAUUGGGCGUAAAGAGCUCGUAGGCGGUUUGUUGCGUCGGCUGUGAAAACCCGCGGCUUAACCGCGGGCUUGCAGUUGAUACGGGCAGGCUAGAGUUCGGUAGGGGAGACUGGAAUUCCUGGUGUAGCGGUGAAAUGCGCAGAUAUCAGGAGGAACACCGGUGGCGAAGGCGGGUCUCUGGGCCGAUACUGACGCUGAGGAGCGAAAGCGUGGGGAGCGAACAGG
Molecule: ribosomal RNA, 253 nt
Filed under: uncultured bacterium
Lineage: Bacteria
Description: partial 16S ribosomal RNA
Rfam family: Bacterial small subunit ribosomal RNA
Source: RNAcentral